This is a non-coding RNA of Heterocephalus glaber (naked mole-rat), 699 nucleotides long. Lineage: Eukaryota; Metazoa; Chordata; Mammalia; Rodentia; Bathyergidae. The record is from RefSeq and is a predicted model, not a curated record.
CAAGGACCAAGAUUUUGAAGACAAAACUUAAUUAUGUUCCACAGUUAUAUGUCGUUCCAAAAAUAAAACAGUAGAUAUAAAAUGAUUAAUCUCAGAGAGAAGAGGGGUUUUUUGGUACCGGGGAUUGAACUCGUGUCCUUAGCUUGUGAGGCAGGUGGUUGAACCACUGAGCUAAAUCCCUAGCCCAAGAGAAGAGGGGUUUUAAUGGCUCUUCUAGAAUGAGCCAAGUCAAAGUGUCAAACACGAGGACUCUCAGCUUGCAUGAUGAAUUUGAUGAGGACUGGAGAAGUGACUCAGUGAUAGAGCACUUGCGUAACAUACGCAAGGCCUCCUUUCAAACCCCAGGACCAGAACGAGUAGCAGGGAAUGGAUGGUCAAAGUUCUAAGGACCUUUCACCAAAUUCCCCCCCUACAGGCAGCAGGGAUAUAGGGGAAGACUAAAGGGUUGAGAAUUACCUAAGAUUUCUGGGGAACGUCUCAAGCCUUCAGAACACGGAAUGAACUCAGGACCUUGCACUUCUGAAACAGGCACAGCAGCGCUGAGCUAAAUCGCUGGCCCUACCUGGAGGUUUUUGUGUCCACAUGAAAUUGAGAAUAGCCUAGUCCCAUAACCCAGAUAUGUACACAUACAGAAUACAGAUGUUACUAGACCAUGGGUCUCGACGAAUAGUGUUUGCUGAAAUAAAAUUUCCAAAAGAA